UACGUAGGGGGCAAGCGUUGUCCGGAAUUAUUGGGCGUAAAGAGCGCGUAGGCGGUCCGGUAAGUCGGCUGUGAAAGUCAGGGGCUCAACCCUUGAAAGCCGGCCGAUACUGUCGGACUAGAGUCCGGAAGAGGCGAGUGGAAUUCCCGGUGUAGCGGUGAAAUGCGCAGAUAUCGUAAGGAAGACCAGUGGCGAAGGCGGGUCUCUGGACAGUUCCUGACGCUGAGGCGCGAAGGCCAGGGGAGCAAACGGG
RNAcentral lists this ribosomal RNA (253 nucleotides) under uncultured bacterium. RNAcentral's name for it is "partial 16S ribosomal RNA". It matches the Rfam family "Bacterial small subunit ribosomal RNA", at positions 524 to 776 of the family's 1533-position model. The record is from RNAcentral.